GUCAGCCAGGCCCAGCCCAGCCCCUGAAGGAGGCAGACCCAUGGGAACCAGAAUAUUUCCUAAUCCUGGGAAGCCCUGACAGGCCCCUGCGAGCAGUCUUCCUUCCGCCUCACCCCAAGUCCUCUCCGUGCUCCCUCUUCAGGGCCCCUCCCACUGCGCCCUUCAUUCUUCUCCAGCCCAGAAGCUGUUGUGACGGUGACUCGGCCUCCACUCCUCCUGGCCCCUCCUCGCCAGGGACUUCCCUGGGGUGGGCCUCUCACCAGCUUUGGAAAAUCUGGGCUGUUUGUGAUCAAACAGGAGGCUGCCUCACUGCACGCCCCAGGCUCGCUCUCUCUGUUAGAGGCCCGACCACAGAAAGGUCCAGCUGGCUCUGGAGGAGAGCAGGUGGGAGAGCCCGCCCCCGCGACAGGUGCUUUGGCCCUGACCUUGAGGGGUGAUCCCAAGGGAGGCAGGGGCAGACUCCCACCUGGUCUCCCUAUCUAGCCUCAGAUCACCCCAAGCCCACACACUCACCCGCCAACCCUCACAGACACGUAUUCAUGGAACAACCCAGACACACUCAGACACCCACAGGCAUACUCACAAACACAUAAACAGGCUCACACACUUUCGUUCCCACGGUCCCACACACAGGCACCUGGGGGGACCUGACACACGCUCACAAACACACACACACACCUGCCCUCACCCUUGCCCGCCUACUCCCUCGUCUUGGGAAAAGGAUAAGCCCAACAUUGAUCGUUCUUUUCCUUCCUUUUGGAAAACCUGGCAGGGACUAGAGAGAAAAAGGCGAGCUGAGAAGGCCGGGCAAGAAGAGGAGGGCAGGAAGAGGAAAUCGGAAAUGGAGGAAGAGAAGGCAAGAGGAGGUGGGGGAUUCCAGCGCCCAGGGUCCUGAGGAAAUCACCGGAGGGCCAGCCCACAUCCUCCUGCCCCUGGUUCGUAUCCCAUCUGUUUCCACUUAGUUUCUGCGGCUUCUCUACAGGCAAGGAAA
This 991-nucleotide long non-coding RNA is filed under the name Sus scrofa (pig). Its description in RNAcentral is "lncRNA (ENSSSCG00035053057.1)". The record is from RNAcentral. Lineage: Eukaryota; Metazoa; Chordata; Mammalia; Artiodactyla; Suidae.